CCAACAUGUAGGAGGUUCGGCGGCCGAAUGAACCUUCGGCUGCCGAACCUGAGUUCCUCCAGAACUCAGCUUCAACGGCAAACCAUCUCCUCCUUCCCUUCAACACGGUCUAACAUGCAUCCUUCACGUAUUCAACACACAUAUACUCAAGUAUAUGUUCACAGGGGUCCAAAACUAGCUAAUAACCCCAAACAACAAAACAAACAUCACACAUCAACAUGUAUACAUACAUAAAUCAUCAAAAACUACCAUGAAGAACCUAAGCAUGCUCUCCUUCCUUUCACUCUUCAGAAAACAUAUAAACAGGGUCUAAAACUGCCCUUACCUCUGGAAACAGGAAGAUACACACACUGAACAAAGGAAAAACAGAUCAACCUCUCUUCAAACUCUCAAAAGCGUCACUUUUGUUUCUCUCAACUCUCAACACCUUUGCAAGCACCUCAAACUGCUGUAAGAACAACCAAAAACAUGUACAGAUGAGUCAUAAGAGACGUGGUCAUUCCAUGGCAAGAAUCUGAGGCCAACACUUGUCAAAAAAAAACAUGACUCAGCUCACUAGCCAACUCAGCUUCGGCUGCCCAAUCGCAUGC
This 590-nucleotide long non-coding RNA is filed under the name Manihot esculenta (cassava). RNAcentral describes it as "long non-coding RNA (MESC_LNC013136)". Lineage: Eukaryota; Viridiplantae; Streptophyta; Magnoliopsida; Malpighiales; Euphorbiaceae. The record is from RNAcentral.